GCGGCGCUGAACAUCGUGCCGACGAGCACCGGCGCCGCGAAGGCCGUGGCGCUGGUGCUCCCGCAGCUGAAGGGGAAGCUCAACGGCAUCGCGCUGCGCGUGCCGACCCCGAACGUGUCCGUGGUGGACCUGGUGAUCAACACCGUGAAGACCGGCAUCACCGCCGACGACGUGAACGCCGCGUUCCGCAAGGCCGCGGCGGGGCCACUCAGCGGCAUCCUCGACGUCUGCGACGUGCCGCUGGUGUCCGUCGACUUCCGCUGCUCCGACGUCUCCUCCACCAUCGACGCCUCGCUCACCAUGGUCAUGGGCGACGACAUGGUCAAGGUGGUCGCCUGGUACGACAACGAGUGGG
Molecule: unclassified non-coding RNA, 355 nt
Filed under: Hevea brasiliensis (rubber tree)
Lineage: Eukaryota; Viridiplantae; Streptophyta; Magnoliopsida; Malpighiales; Euphorbiaceae
Source: RNAcentral